This 385-nucleotide ribosomal RNA is filed under the name uncultured bacterium. RNAcentral's name for it is "bacterial SSU rRNA". It matches the Rfam family "Bacterial small subunit ribosomal RNA", at positions 30 to 413 of the family's 1533-position model. The record is from RNAcentral.
AUUGAACGCUGGCGGCAUGCCUUACACAUGCAAGUCGAACGGCAGCACGGGAGCUUGCUCCUGGUGGCGAGUGGCGAACGGGUGAGUAAUAUAUCGGAACGUACCCUAGAGUGGGGGAUAACGCAGCGAAAGCUGCGCUAAUACCGCAUACGAUCUACGGAUGAAAGUGGGGGAUCGCAAGACCUCAUGCUCAUGGAGCGGCCGAUAUCUGAUUAGCUAGUUGGUGGGGUAAAGGCCUACCAAGGCAUCGAUCAGUAGCUGGUCUGAGAGGACGACCAGCCACACUGGAACUGAGACACGGCCCAGACUCCUACGGGAGGCAGCAGUGGGGAAUUUUGGACAAUGGGCGCAAGCCUGAUCCAGCAAUGCCGCGUGCAGGAUGAAA